AGCGAACGCUGGCGGCAGGCUUAACACAUGCAAGUCGAGCGGGCACUUCGGUGUCAGCGGCAGACGGGUGAGUAACACGUGGGAACGUACCCUUUGGUUCGGAAUAACGCUGGGAAACUAGCGCUAAUACCGGAUACGCCCUUUUGGGGAAAGGCUUGCUGCCGAAGGAUCGGCCCGCGUCUGAUUAGCUAGUUGGUGGGGUAAUGGCCUACCAAGGCGACGAUCAGUAGCUGGUCUGAGAGGAUGAUCAGCCACACUGGGACUGAGACACGGCCCAGACUCCUACGGGAGGCAGCAGUGGGGAAUAUUGGACAAUGGGCGCAAGCCUGGUCCAGCCAUGCCGCGUGAGUGAUGAAGGCCUUAGGUUGGGUAUGCUCUUUGGUCCGGGACGAAAAUGACGGGACCGGAAGGAAAGGCCCCAGCUAACUAGGGU
This 433-nucleotide ribosomal RNA is filed under the name uncultured bacterium. RNAcentral's name for it is "partial 16S ribosomal RNA". It matches the Rfam family "Bacterial small subunit ribosomal RNA", at positions 29 to 507 of the family's 1533-position model. The record is from RNAcentral.